Molecule: small nuclear RNA, 344 nt
Filed under: Microcebus murinus (gray mouse lemur)
Lineage: Eukaryota; Metazoa; Chordata; Mammalia; Primates; Cheirogaleidae
Description: 7SK RNA (ENSMICG00000032090.2)
Rfam family: 7SK RNA
About the family: 7SK was discovered as an abundant small nuclear RNA in the mid-70s but a possible function has only recently been suggested. Two independent studies have found that 7SK RNA binds the CDK9/cyclin T complex (known as elongation factor P-TEFb). P-TEFb activates transcription by phosphorylating the C-terminal domain of RNA polymerase II.
Source: Rfam by way of RNAcentral
GGAUGUGAGGGGGAUCUGGCUGCCACAUCUGUCACCCCAUUGAUUGCCAGGGUUGAUUCGGCUGAUCUGGCUGGCUAGGCGGGUGUCCCCUUCUUCCCUCACCGUUCCAUGUGGGUCCCUCCCGAAGCUGAACGCUCGGUGGAAGAGGACGACCUUCCCCGCUAGAGGAGGACCGGUCUUCGGGUUCGGUCAAGGGUAUACGAGUAGCUGCGCUCCCCUGUUAGAACCUCCAAACAAGCUCUCAAAAAUAGUAAGAUCUAAUGUUCAGUUGGACAAUGGGGUGACUAAAGGUUACAAUUUAUUAUGUAUUUCAAAAUAACUAGAAAAGUAGAAUUGGAAAGUUU